RNAcentral lists this ribosomal RNA (683 nucleotides) under Clarkeinda trachodes. RNAcentral describes it as "eukaryotic LSU rRNA". It matches the Rfam family "Eukaryotic large subunit ribosomal RNA", at positions 35 to 700 of the family's 3401-position model. Lineage: Eukaryota; Fungi; Basidiomycota; Agaricomycetes; Agaricales; Agaricaceae. The record is from RNAcentral.
UUAGCAUAUCAAUAAGCGGAGGAAAAGAAACUAACAAGGAUUCCCCUAGUAACUGCGAGUGAAGCGGGAAAAGCUCAAAUUUAAAAUCUGGCGGUCUCUGGCCGUCCGAGUUGUAAUCUAGAGAAGUAAUGCCCGCGCUGGACCGUGUACAAGUCUCCUGGAAUGGGGCGUCAUAGAGGGUGAGAAUCCCGUCUCUGACACGGACUACCAGUGCGUUGUGGUAUGCUCUCAAAGAGUCGAGUUGUUUGGGAAUGCAGCUCAAAAUGGGUGGUAAAUUCCAUCUAAAGCUAAAUAUUGGCGAGAGACCGAUAGCGAACAAGUACCGUGAGGGAAAGAUGAAAAGAACUUUGGAAAGAGAGUUAAACAGUACGUGAAAUUGCUGAAAGGGAAACGCUUGAAGUCAGUCGCGUUGGCCAGGGAUCAGCCUCGCUCUUGCGUGGUGUACUUUCUGGUUGACGGGUCAGCAUCAAUUUUGACCGCUGGAAAAGGUCCUGGNNAAUGUGGCAGCUCCGGCUGUGUUAUAGCCCCUGGUCACAUACAGCGGUUGGGAUUGAGGAACUCAGCACGCCGCAAGGCCGGGUUUUUAACCACGUUCGUGCUUAGGAUGCUGGCAUAAUGGCUUUAAGCGACCCGUCUUGAAAAAACGGACCAAGGAGUCUAACAUGCCUGCGAGUGUUUGGGUG